UUGUGGCCCCGUGGACUUAAGCAUAUCAAUAAGCGGAGGAAAAGAAACUAACAAGGAUUCCCCUAGUAACUGCGAGUGAAGCGGGAAAAGCUCAAAUUUAAAAUCUGGCGGUCUUUGGCUGUCCGAGUUGUAGUCUGGAGAAGUGCUUUCCGCGCUGGACCGUGUACAAGUCUCUUGGAACAGAGCGUCAUAGAGGGUGAGAAUCCCGUCUUUGACACGGACUACCAGUGCUUUGUGAUGCGCUCUCAAAGAGUCGAGUUGUUUGGGAAUGCAGCUCAAAAUGGGUGGUGAAUUCCAUCUAAAGCUAAAUAUUGGCGAGAGACCGAUAGCGAACAAGUACCGUGAGGGAAAGAUGAAAAGCACUUUGGAAAGAGAGUUAAACAGUACGUGAAAUUGCUGAAAGGGAAACGCUUGAAGUCAGUCGCGUUGUCCAGAACUCAGCCUUGCUUUUGCUUGGUGCACUUUCUGGAUAACGGGCCAGCAUCAAUUUUGACCGUCGGAAAAGGGCUGGAGUAAUGUGGCACCUUUUGGUGUGUUAUAGACUCUAGUCGCAUACGGCGGUUGGGAUUGAGGACCGCAGCGCGCCGCAAGGCAGGGGUUCGCCCACUUUCGCGCUUAGGAUGCUGGCAUAAUGGCUUUAAACGACCCGUCUUGAAACACGGACCAAGGAGUCUAACAUGCCUGCGAGUGUUUGGGUGGAAAACCCGAGCGCGUAAUGAAAGUGAAAGUUGAGACCUCUGUCGUGGAGGGCAUCGACGCCCGGACCUGACGUUCUCUGAAGGAUCCGCGGUAGAGCAUGUAUGUUGGGACCCGAAAGAUGGUGAACUAUGCCUGAAUAGGGUGAAGCCAGAGGAAACUCUGGUGGAGGCUCGUAGCGAUUCUGACGUGCAAAUCGAUCGUCAAAUUUGGGUAUAGGGGCGAAAGACUAAUCGAACCAUCUAGUAGCUGGUUCCUGCCGAGCCCCCUAGCGGGAGUAUAA
Molecule: ribosomal RNA, 979 nt
Filed under: Truncospora sp.
Lineage: Eukaryota; Fungi; Basidiomycota; Agaricomycetes; Polyporales; Polyporaceae
Description: partial large subunit ribosomal RNA
Rfam family: Eukaryotic large subunit ribosomal RNA
Source: RNAcentral